This 217-nucleotide long non-coding RNA is filed under the name Musa acuminata (dwarf banana). RNAcentral's name for it is "long non-coding RNA (MACU_LNC009429)". Lineage: Eukaryota; Viridiplantae; Streptophyta; Magnoliopsida; Zingiberales; Musaceae. The record is from RNAcentral.
CACCUCUAUUUUGCUUGUGAUUAUACAAAAUGGAUAUGGAAGGAGAUUCUCCAGCGAUUUGAACUCAAUAGACUGCCGCAACUAAACUUGCACCAAGAACUAGGCGACCUCAUGCAAUGUUUCUCAAGAAAAGGGUCUCUCACACAACUGGCAAAGGUUACUUUCAGAUGCGCUAUUUGGUGGAUGUGGAAGGAGAGAUGUAACAGAAUCUUUGAAU